CGUCUAUAUACGUAUAGCAUAUCAAUAAGCGGAGGAAAAGAAACUAACAAGGAUUCCCUUAGUAACGGCGAGUGAAGCGGGAAGAGCUCAAAUUUGAAAUCUUCAAGGUUUACCUUGACGAAUUGUAGUUUAAAGAAGUGUUUUCUGUUGGAGUUUUGGUAAAAGUUCUUUGGAAUAGGACAUCAUAGAGGGUGAGAAUCCCGUAUUUGACCAUUAUCUCCAGCUUUGUGAUACACUUUCAAAGAGUCGGAUUGUUUGGGAAUGCAGUCCAAAAUGGGUGGUAAAUUUCAUCUAAAGCUAAAUAUUGGCGAGAGACCGAUAGCGAACAAGUACCGUGAGGGAAAGAUGAAAAGAACUUUGAAAAGAGAGUUAAACAGUACGUGAAAUUGUCAAAAGGGAAGCGUUUGACACCAGUGUUGUUUUCUCGAAAAUCAAUUAAAAAAGGACCGGAUUUUGUGUUGUAUUGACUUUAUCAGCUUUCUGCACUCUUUUCUUGUCUUUUUUAAUGCACUUUUCGUUUAACAAGUCAACAUCAAUUUCUUUUGUUGUAAAAGGGUCAUUGGAAGGUGGCUUUCACUUUCGGAUGAAAGUGUUUAUAGCCUUUGGCCUUCUGCAAUCGGAGAGAUUGAGGUCUGCAGCGUAGAUCCUUCGGGGCUAGAUACAUUAGAUGCUAAGUUAUAGCCUUUUUCAUAGACAACUUGUUGACUUAUGAAUUAAGUCAUGUAGCUUACUCGCUUAUGCGCUAUUUUACCUACGCUUAGGAUGUUGACUGAUAUGUAGUCGUA
RNAcentral lists this ribosomal RNA (785 nucleotides) under uncultured Neocallimastigales. Its description in RNAcentral is "partial large subunit ribosomal RNA". It matches the Rfam family "Eukaryotic large subunit ribosomal RNA", at positions 26 to 644 of the family's 3401-position model. The record is from RNAcentral. Lineage: Eukaryota; Fungi; Neocallimastigomycota; Neocallimastigomycetes; Neocallimastigales.